ACGCUUCUUUUUCACCGAACUUCGGUUCAUCGAAAAAGAGGAGUGGCGAACGGGUGAGUAACACGUGGGUAACCUGCCCAUCAGAAGGGGAUAACACUUGGAAACAGGUGCUAAUACCGUAUAAUGCUUUUUCUCGCAUGAGAGCAAGCUGAAAGGCGCUUUUGCGUCACUGAUGGAUGGACCCGCGGUGCAUUAGCUAGUUGGUGAGGUAACGGCUCACCAAGGCCACGAUGCAUAGCCGACCUGAGAGGGUGAUCGGCCACACUGGGACUGAGACACGGCCCAGACUCCUACGGGAGGCAGCAGUAGGGAAUCUUCGGCAAUGGACGAAAGUCUGACCGAGCAACGCCGCGUGAGUGAAGAAGGUUUUCGGAUCGUAAAACUCUGUUGUUAGAGAAGAACAAGGAUGAGAGUAAAAUGUUCAUCCCUUGACGGUAUCUAACCAGAAAGCCACGGCUAACUACGUGCCAGCAGCCGCGGUAAUACGUAGGUGGCAAGCGUUGUCCGGAUUUAUUGGGCGUAAAGCGAGCGCAGGCGGUUUCUUAAGUCUGAUGUGAAAGCCCCCGGCUCAACCGGGGAGGGUCAUUGGAAACUGGGAGACUUGAGUGCAGAAGAGGAGAGUGGAAUUCCAUGUGUAGCGGUGAAAUGCGUAGAUAUAUGGAGGAACACCAGUGGCGAAGGCGGCUCUCUGGUCUGUAACUGACGCUGAGGCUCGAAA
This 718-nucleotide ribosomal RNA is filed under the name Enterococcus olivae. Its description in RNAcentral is "bacterial SSU rRNA". It matches the Rfam family "Bacterial small subunit ribosomal RNA", at positions 66 to 758 of the family's 1533-position model. The record is from RNAcentral. Lineage: Bacteria; Bacillati; Bacillota; Bacilli; Lactobacillales; Enterococcaceae.